RNAcentral lists this ribosomal RNA (681 nucleotides) under uncultured nitrite-oxidizing bacterium. Its description in RNAcentral is "bacterial SSU rRNA". It matches the Rfam family "Bacterial small subunit ribosomal RNA", at positions 21 to 696 of the family's 1533-position model. The record is from RNAcentral.
GGCUCAGAACGAACGCUGGCGGCGCGCCUAAUACAUGCAAGUCGAGCGAGAAGACGUAGCAAUACGUUUGUAAAGCGGCGAACGGGUGAGGAAUACAUGGGUAACCUACCCUCGAGUGGGGAAUAACUAGCCGAAAGGUUAGCUAAUACCGCGUACGCUUCUUGGACUUCGGUUCAGGGAGGAAAGCGCUACCGAGGGUAGCGCGCUCUUGGAUGGGCUCAUGUCCUAUCAGCUUGUUGGUGAGGUAAUGGCUCACCAAGGCUUUGACGGGUAGCUGGUCUGAGAGGACGAUCAGCCACACUGGCACUGCGACACGGGCCAGACUCCUACGGGAGGCAGCAGUAAGGAAUAUUGCGCAAUGGGCGAAAGCCUGACGCAGCGACGCCGCGUGGGGGAUGAAGGUCUUCGGAUUGUAAACCCCUUUCGGGAGGGAAGAUGGAGCGAGCAAUCGUUCGGACGGUACCUCCAGAAGCAGCCACGGCCAACUUCGUGCCAGCAGCCGCGGUAAUACGAAGGUGGCAAGCGUUGUUCGGAUUCACUGGGCGUACAGGGUGUGUAGGCGGUUUGGUAAGCCUUCUGUUAAAGCUUCGGGCCCAACCCGGAAAGCGCAGAGGGUACUGCCAGGCUAGAGGGUGGGAGAGGAGCGCGGAAUUCCCGGUGUAGCGGUGAAAUGCGUAGAGA